AUGAAAUUUAGUAGAUUUCACCUCUGAAGAGAAUGUCUUUUAAUUCUUUCUUCAUAAUUCCCAACACUAUACCCAAGUCCACACUCUUCAUCUGUUAGACUGAUCUCUUUCCUGGUCCCUGUGUCCCUCCUAUCUAUCCAUCUGUUCCAGUCUAUCUUCCACUCAACCCUGGGAGAUAACUUAUUUGUUUUCUUUUUGUAGUGUGUGCAUGCUGGCAAGUGCUCUACCACUGAGCUACACCCUCAGCCCUGGUGUAGCUGGGGUUCAUAUAACAAGGGGAAAGGGAAUUUUUUUGAGUAUCAACUAUAUGCCAGGUACAAUGUUGAAGAUUUAUACUCAGGUUAUUUAAUCAUUAUAAUACCUAUCUGCAGCAGGAUUGUACUGAUAUGGUAUUUCUACAAAAUGCGAUUUAAGUAGAUUAAGUGUCUUUCUGACACUAACUACCUUCCUAAUAGUGUCCCUCUCUUGCAGGUCAUAUUAUCUUUUUGACUAAAAGAAAACCACUAAUGAAUUUUUUUCACUACUGAUUCUAAUUUACAAAAUAAAAUAUAGGGUUUUGUCUUAGCAUACAAAGAAAAUAAAAUUAUGUAUUUCUACUCACUUAUCAAGACUUUGCCUCUACUCCUAUGGGGUACUAUAAACUCCAGUUGGUCUGGACACUCACAGUUUCUCAGACUUCCAGCUCAUUCCAUGAUUCUGUGCCUUUUGCAUGUGCUGGUUUCUGUCUGGAAUGACUUUUCUUUGGCUAGUGCAUUCCUGUUUAACCUUUAAGACUGAGCACAUGUAAGUCAACUGCUCAAAGGCUUUAGUGACUUCCCCAGCAACCAGUUGCUGGAUUUUGUUGAUCACACAAAUAUAGUAACACAUUCUACACACAUUAUAACCCCCUACUAAGUGACCCUGCUUGUGUUUCUGACUUUCUCACUGUAAUGUCUUCAUGAACUGCAUAGUCAUUAAAAUUUGUAUCUCACACACAUUAUAUAAAAGUUUUCACUGAAGAAGAAUGGAAGGAUUAAAUGAUGAUAAGAGAAAAUUAAUUUUUAAGAAACUCCCAGGAAACAGC
RNAcentral lists this long non-coding RNA (1063 nucleotides) under Marmota monax (woodchuck). The record is from RNAcentral. Lineage: Eukaryota; Metazoa; Chordata; Mammalia; Rodentia; Sciuridae.